ACAAGCUAAAAUGGCAGAUUUGAAACUCUAUGGAUUUUGGUAUAGUCCUUUUACUUUCAGGGUGCUAUGGACCUUGAAGCUAAAGGGUCUAUCAUAUGAGUACAUAGAUGAAGAUCGCUUCAACAAGAGUCCUCAACUUCUUCAAUACAACCCAGUGCACAAGAAAACUCCAGUGUUCGUUCAUGAUGGAAAACCAAUGUGAGUCCAUGAUCAUUGUUGAAUACAUUGAUGAGUUAUGGCCACAGAAUCCACUAGUUCCUGCUGAUCCUCAUGAGAAGCUGUGGCACGAUUUUGGGUCAGAUAUGUUGACGACAUGGUACAUUUUUACAAACUCCACAUCUAUAUCUUAUACUGUGAUUUAUAGCGUGGAUCAACUUAUUUUUUAAUAGGCACUCAAAAAAUGCUCAUAGAAGUUUCUCCGAGAAUUGAUAUUGCCUUUAGAAUUAAUUGCAGAAGGAUUUUCAAACGUGCAAGUAGUCACAAUAAUGUUCAAUUUUAGUUUUAGUUAAUUUAAUUUACAAUUGUAUUUUUUUUCCUCAAUAUUUUCUAUGCUUUAAGCGUCCUAUAUAUUUUUUAAAGAUAUCUGCAGUUGCAUCUCCACUCUUUCUAAGCAAUGACAAUGCAGAGCGAGAGAAGGUUAUAAAGGACAUAUGGGAGCGAUUCGGAGUGAUUGAGGAUCAGUGUUUGGGUGAUCACAAAAAAUUCUUUGGAGGAGACACUUUUAACAUUGUGGACAUAGCUUUUGGGUCUUUUGUGAAAAUUCUUGUGGGUUUAGGAGAUGUGUUUGAAGUGAAGAUCCUACCAGCUGAGAGUUUCCCUCGCUUGCAUACAUGGUUUAAUAAUUUCAUGGAUGUUCCAGUCAUCAGAGACAACACCUCUGAGCAGGAGAAAUUGGUGUCUUAUGUAAAGCCUAUGAGAACAAAUUUUGGCAUCUUCCAGAAAAUGAUAUACAAAGCAUUUCUAUCGUUUAGAACCAUAUAUCAUCUCAUAUAUGUAUUCCUUUAUGCUACUACCAGUCUUAAUUUGUUUGGGUUUGUCUUCUUGAUGUACGUUUGAAAGAAAUAAAAGUGCUACCUGCUAAGUGGCAUUGGUAAUUAGAUGGAGUUAUGGAUUUAAAUCUUUGUUAUUGAUUUGAGUUUAUCUUAAAACAUAAGUGUGUAUGUAAGUGUUUGAGAGAGUGGCCUACCUCUAAAUUGUUUGGAGCUUAUUUUAAUGAGUUCUUUAUAUUAGCUUAUGAAUAAGAGCUUAUGCUUAUAUAUAUAUAUAUAUAUAUAUAUAUAUAUAUAUAAUGUAUGAUAUGAGAAAUGUGUUCUUAUAUAAGAAAAUAAGAAUAAAUUAUGAUCGUUAGAUCUAAUCACGAAUGAUCAAGAUUAAAACAAUUUAAUGCUCGCAUGACCACUUAAAAAUGUCAUGUGACUUUUAUAAAAUGUCACAUGACUCAAUGUUUUAAUCUUGACUAUUCAUGAUUAGAUCUAACAAUAAUGAUUUAUUCUUAUUUUCUCAUAUAAGAACAUCUUUCUUAUAUGAUACAUCCUCUCUCACACACACACAAACACAUCCACACACACACACACACACAUAUAUAUAUAUAUAUAUAUAUAUAUAUAUUCUAUUUUCAGCUCAUUCUAAUAAGCUUAUCAAAUUAACUUAUGAAUAAGCGAUUAUUAUCAUAAACGUAACUAAAUUAUAUACUCGAACAUGCUCUUAAGAUUUAAUUUCACUUUUGAUCCCCUAGUUCUGACUGUGUGUCUUUAGUCCCCCAAUUAUUUUUUUUUGACAAAUUUAGUCAUCAACUUUCUAAUUGUUGCAAACCAAGUUGCUCUAUCAUUAUUACUUGAUUUAUGUUUUUUUUAGGAUAAAUCAGCUAAGGCAAUCUAAGAGAAAUUGGAGAAAAACUAUGGAGAUUUCAAAUGGUAGAUGACUCUAACGCGCCCCUCUUAUGCAAAAGCUCGUAUGAGCUUGAAGUGUGGAGAAUGCACAGACACACCUAUCAUGUGCUAUUAUUAUUUUUUUAUUAGAAGAAUUGAGAGCGACGAUGAUUGAAGUCUAGAACACUUGAUCAUUAAGGCUCUAAUAAUGUUAAAAACCAAUUAUCUCAAAAACUUAAGUUGUUGGGUAAUUAUCACAUGAAUUGAUGACAGUGUUUUUUCUUUUCUUUUAGUGAUUCAUCUUUGACACAAAUAGCCAUAAAAUAACAAGUGAUUGCCAGUAAUUGUUUUGACUGGGCAAAAAUAGCUUAGCUUUUUGGGAAGAACAAUUUAACACACCCAAAAAAAAACUUUUGCUAAAAAAUAAAUUUCUUUCUUUUCUUAUGUUAUUUAUUAUCCACAUCAAUUUUUUUUUCAUUUCUUUUUCUCACCUAAAAAUUUUUAUUUUUCACCUCUUUCACUCUACUCAUUUUUUUUCUUCUUGUUUUCACUCCUAAACCAAGCAAAGCAAAAAGGUCGGUUUGGUUUACUGUUACAUAAAAUUAUGUUGGAUAAAAUGAAAUUGAUAUAAUUAUGUUUGAUAAAAUUAAAUUCACAAGAAUGAAUAUAUAUUUGAGAAUGAUGUGUAAAAGUAAGUUUAAAAAAUAAAUGUUAUUUAAAUGGAAUAAAAUGAAAUCAUAGAUAAAAAUUCUAAAAUGGAUAUAAGACAAUGAAUAUAAUAUAAAGGUAGAUUUCAAAUUGGGUAAUAUUGUAAUCUCAAAACACAUUUUUUCUUUAACAUAAAAUUUAUAUGUGAAGACAUUUUUUUAUUACAAAUGCAUUCCAUUCUUUUCCAUGCACACCAGAUAAAAUCGAAUCACAUUCUAAAUGUUUACAGCACUAAAAUAUCUAUCAAUCAUGAUGAGAAUUGUUAAUCCGCGAAGACAUAUACCAAUUGACUAAGCAAUAACCAUCUCAACUAUGUAUUCUAUCUUCCAUGCCAAGACAUUUCAUUUGGCAUCGGUGUCAUCUAUAUCUUGUCUGCAAGUUGUUAGAAAUUUUAAUUUUUUUUAUUGUAAUGUUGAUUAUGUAUUGUUUCUUUUACUCCACCUAUAUUUAAGUUGUAGGUUAUAAUUUUUUAUCUUUUAAUGUAGUCCAAAUUCACACCUCGAAUUCUGUGUUUUCUUUCCUUCCUUCUUUCAUUCCCUCCAUUCAACCAUUAGUGCUUUAAAGUGAGCAUGGAAAAAGCCCAAUUAAAAAAAAUAAGUUUAUUUAUUAGUUGGUGAUUUAAGCACUGACGACAUUCAAAGUUGUUCCAUCCCGUCAUCACCUUAUGAACACUUGCAAAAUAAAAUAAUAAAAAAGUAUCAUUAGAUUAAAAAACAUGCACAUAUCCCUGAUAUGCAUGAACUAUGAAGGAAGCUUCACAUAUGAUUUUGUCCUAGUGUUUGUUCCUCUGACCAUUACUUUGUUAACAAUUUGUAUUUUUCUUUUGACAUUUGAACUUGCUGAACAAGUUAGAGGACUCAAUGGAUCAUUAUAUUUCUAUUUCUAUAUAAAGACUUUGAGUUUAGUGUUGGUUAAGGCAAACACAGGCUAAAAUGGCAGAUUUGAAACUCCAUGGAUUUUGGUAUAGUCCUUUUACUUUCAGGGUGCUAUGGACCCUAAAGCUGAAGGGCAUACCAUUUGAGUACAUUGAGGAAGAUCGCUUCAACAAGAGUCCUCAACUUCUUCAAUACAACCCAGUGCACAAGAAAACUCCAGUGUUCGUUCAUGAUGGAAAACCCAUAUGUG
RNAcentral lists this long non-coding RNA (3701 nucleotides) under Lotus japonicus. Its description in RNAcentral is "long non-coding RNA (LJAP_LNC002070)". The record is from RNAcentral. Lineage: Eukaryota; Viridiplantae; Streptophyta; Magnoliopsida; Fabales; Fabaceae.